RNAcentral lists this ribosomal RNA (500 nucleotides) under uncultured bacterium. RNAcentral's name for it is "partial 16S ribosomal RNA". It matches the Rfam family "Bacterial small subunit ribosomal RNA", at positions 30 to 523 of the family's 1533-position model. The record is from RNAcentral.
AUUGAACGCUGGCGGAAUGCUUUACACAUGCAAGUCGAACGGCAGCACGGACUUCGGUCUGGUGGCGAGUGGCGAACGGGUGAGUAAUGUAUCGGAACGUGCCCAGUCGUGGGGGAUAACGUAGUGAAAAUUACGCUAAUACCGCAUACGAUCUAUGGAUGAAAGCGGGGGAUCGCAAGACCCCGCGCGAUUGGAGCGGCCGAUAUCAGAUUAGGUAGUUGGUGGGCUAAAGGCCCACCAAGCCAACGAUCUGUAGCUGGUCUGAGAGGACGACCAGCCACACUGGAACUGAGACACGGUCCAGACUCCUACGGGAGGCAGCAGUGGGGAAUUUUGGACAAUGGGCGAAAGCCUGAUCCAGCCAUUCCGCGUGCAGGAUGAAGGCCCUCGGGUUGUAAACUGCUUUUGUACAGAACGAAAAGGUUUCUACUAAUACUAGGAGCUCAUGACGGUACUGUAAGAAUAAGCACCGGCUAACUACGUGCCAGCCGCCGCGGUAA